UACGGGGGGAGCAAGCGUUGUUCGGAUUUACUGGGCGUAAAGGGCGCGUAGGCGGCGUGACAAGUCACUUGUGAAAUCUCCGGGCUUAACUCGGAACGGUCAAGUGAUACUGUCGUGCUAGAGUACAGAAGGGGCAACUGGAAUUCUCGGUGUAGCGGUGAAAUGCGUAGAUAUCGAGAGGAACACCUGCGGCGAAGGCGGGUUGCUGGGUCUGCACUGACACUGAGGGACGAAAGCUAGGGGAGCGAAAGUG
RNAcentral lists this ribosomal RNA (253 nucleotides) under uncultured bacterium. RNAcentral describes it as "partial 16S ribosomal RNA". It matches the Rfam family "Bacterial small subunit ribosomal RNA", at positions 524 to 776 of the family's 1533-position model. The record is from RNAcentral.